CCCUACGGGGGGCAGCAGUGGGGAAUAUUGCACAAUGGGCGCAAGCCUGAUGCAGCAACGCCGCGUGAGCGAAGAAGGUCUUCGGAUCGUAAAGCUCUGUCCUUGAGGAAGAAGGAAGUGACGGUACUCAAGGAGGAAGCCCCGGCUAGCUACGUGCCAGCAGCCGCGGUAAUACGUAGGGGGCUAGCGUUAUCCGGAAUUACUGGGCGUAAAGGGUGCGUAGGUGGUUUCUUAAGUCAGAGGUGAAAGGCUACGGCUCAACCGUAGUAAGCCUUUGAAACUGGGAAACUUGAGUGCAGGAGAGG
Molecule: ribosomal RNA, 305 nt
Filed under: uncultured bacterium
Lineage: Bacteria
Description: bacterial SSU rRNA
Rfam family: Bacterial small subunit ribosomal RNA
Source: RNAcentral